Molecule: ribosomal RNA, 418 nt
Filed under: endophytic bacterium SB53
Lineage: Bacteria
Description: bacterial SSU rRNA
Rfam family: Bacterial small subunit ribosomal RNA
Source: RNAcentral
UUAACGCGAGGAAACCUACCUGGCCUUGACAUGUCGAGAACUUUCCAGAGAUGGAUUGGUGCCUUCGGGAACUCGAACACAGCUGCUGCAUGGCGGUCGUCAGCUCGUGUCGUGAGAUGUUGGGUUAAGUCCCGCAACGAGCGCAACCCUUGUCCUUAGUUGCCAGCACGUAAUGGUGGGAACUCUAAGGAGACCGCCGGUGACAAACCGGAGGAAGGUGGGGAUGACGUCAAGUCAUCAUGGCCCUUACGGCCAGGGCUACACACGUACUACAAUGGUAGGGACAGAGGGGUGCAAGCCGGCGACGGUGAGCCAAUCCCAGAAACCCUAUCUCAGUCCGGAUUGGAGUUUGCAACUCGACUCCAGAAGUCGGAAUCGCUAGUAAUCGCAGAUCAGCAAUGCUGCGGGAAUACGACGU